UGGGGAGGGUGGGAUUUAGACCCACUUAAGCAGAUUUACAGUCUGCCGCCUGUAUCGGCCACCUAACC
Molecule: transfer RNA, 68 nt
Filed under: Brookesia superciliaris
Lineage: Eukaryota; Metazoa; Chordata; Lepidosauria; Squamata; Chamaeleonidae
Description: tRNA-Tyr
Source: RNAcentral